RNAcentral lists this ribosomal RNA (736 nucleotides) under Sporosarcina sp. RNAcentral describes it as "bacterial SSU rRNA". It matches the Rfam family "Bacterial small subunit ribosomal RNA", at positions 63 to 782 of the family's 1533-position model. The record is from RNAcentral. Lineage: Bacteria; Bacillati; Bacillota; Bacilli; Caryophanales; Caryophanaceae.
CGAGCGGACGGAUGGGAGCUUGCUCCCUGAAGUUAGCGGCGGACGGGUGAGUAACACGUGGGCAACCUGCCCUGCAGAUGGGGAUAACUCCGGGAAACCGGGGCUAAUACCGAAUAAUCAGUUCCUCCGCAUGGAGGAACUCUGAAAGACGGUUUCGGCUGUCACUGCAGGAUGGGCCCGCGGCGCAUUAGCUAGUUGGUGGGGUAACGGCCUACCAAGGCGACGAUGCGUAGCCGACCUGAGAGGGUGAUCGGCCACACUGGGACUGAGACACGGCCCAGACUCCUACGGGAGGCAGCAGUAGGGAAUCUUCCACAAUGGACGGAAGUCUGAUGGAGCAACGCCGCGUGAGCGAAGAAGGUUUUCGGAUCGUAAAGCUCUGUUGUAAGGGAAGAACACGUACGGGAGUCACUGCCCGUACCUUGACGGUACCUUAUCAGAAAGCCACGGCUAACUACGUGCCAGCAGCCGCGGUAAUACGUAGGUGGCAAGCGUUGUCCGGAAUUAUUGGGCGUAAAGCGCGCGCAGGCGGUCCUUUAAGUCUGAUGUGAAAGCCCACGGCUCAACCGUGGAGGGUCAUUGGAAACUGGAGGACUUGAGUACAGAAGAGGAAAGCGGAAUUCCACGUGUAGCGGUGAAAUGCGUAGAGAUGUGGAGGAACACCAGUGGCGAAGGCGGCUUUCUGGUCUGUAACUGACGCUGAGGCGCGAAAGCGUGGGGAGCAAACAGGAUUAGA